CCUACGGGUGGCAGCAGUGGGGAAUAUUGGACAAUGGGGGCAACCCUGAUCCAGCCAUGCCGCGUGUGUGAAGAAGGCCCUCGGGUUGUAAAGCACUUUCAGUGAGGAAGAACGCCUGGUGGUUAAUACCCAUCAGGAAAGACAUCACUCACAGAAGAAGCACCGGCUAACUCCGUGCCAGCAGCCGCGGUAAUACGGAGGGUGCGAGCAGUUAAUCGGAAUUACUGGGCGUAAAGCGCGCGUAGGUGGCUUGAUAAGCCGGUUGUGAAAGCCCCGGGCUCAACCUGGGAACGGCAUCCGGAACUGGCAAGCUAGAGUGCAGGAGAGGAAGGUAGAAUUCCCGGUGUAGCGGUGAAAUGCGUAGAGAUCGGGAGGAAUACCAGUGGCGAAGGCGGCCUUCUGGACUGACACUGACACUGAGGUGCGAAAGCGUGGGUAGCAAACAGGAUUAGAUACCCCAGUAGUC
This 466-nucleotide ribosomal RNA is filed under the name Vreelandella stevensii. RNAcentral describes it as "partial 16S ribosomal RNA". It matches the Rfam family "Bacterial small subunit ribosomal RNA", at positions 338 to 795 of the family's 1533-position model. Lineage: Bacteria; Pseudomonadati; Pseudomonadota; Gammaproteobacteria; Oceanospirillales; Halomonadaceae. The record is from RNAcentral.